RNAcentral lists this ribosomal RNA (425 nucleotides) under uncultured bacterium. RNAcentral's name for it is "partial 16S ribosomal RNA". It matches the Rfam family "Bacterial small subunit ribosomal RNA", at positions 354 to 796 of the family's 1533-position model. The record is from RNAcentral.
GUGGGGAAUCUUAGACAAUGGGCGCAAGCCUGAUCUAGCCAUGCCGCGUGAGCGAUGAAGGCCUUAGGGUUGUAAAGCUCUUUCGUGGGGGAAGAUAAUGACUGUACCCCAAGAAGAAGCCCCGGCUAACUCCGUGCCAGCAGCCGCGGUAAUACGGAGGGGGCUAGCGUUGUUCGGAAUUACUGGGCGUAAAGCGCACGUAGGCGGACCAGAAAGUCAGAGGUGAAAGCCCGGGGCUCAACCCCGGAACUGCCUUUGAAACUCCUGGUCUUGAGGUCGAGAGAGGUGGGUGGAAUUCCGAGUGUAGAGGUGAAAUUCGUAGAUAUUCGGAGGAACACCAGUGGCGAAGGCGGCCCACUGGCUCGAUACUGACGCUGAGGUGCGAAAGCGUGGGGAGCAAACAGGAUUAGAAACCCCUGUAGUCC